GUGCUGACCAGGGCUUUUGUUGAUUAUGCUGAAGUGUUUUUUCAGGUGUACAGCUCUUUCUUGGCAAGUGUGGAAAGAAGGACAAGGAUCCUCAGAUGGUGGGGAGGAGAUACUCCUCCCCCAAACUCCUCUAUUUUUUUCUCUUCUUACGACUUCCAAAAUUGUAAAAACCUGACUUACAGGAUGAAAUCUUUAAAGGCUCUCUGUCUUCUACCGUAGGCAAAGCCAUGAAAAUGUGUACUGCUCAUCACUUUGUCUCGUCACGUCUGAUAGAUCUGGCAUUAUAAGAUGGAUGGCUUUGCUUUUAAUUCGGGGAUCCAGUUCAAAGUUGAUGUUAAAUAAAUUAAUAUGAAGAAAAAUACUCCAGCGAAUAAUCUUUCAGUGAAGCCUAUGAUCAGAAAGGAAAUCCAGACAGCACAACAGGUGUGCUUUUUGCAAGCCUGGUGAAAUCUGCAAAUGAACCAAGCCCCAGCCCCAGGAUUUUGGUCUCGAGUAGGACUCGGGCAUAAGCUUCUUGAAAAGCUCCCCGGGGAAUUCUAACGUCCAGCUGGAGUGAGGAAGCACUAAGCCACCAAAGACAGCCUCUGAAGGACCGCCACUUUGGCUAUUAUCUAAGAUGACUCUCUGC
Long non-coding RNA from Camelus dromedarius (Arabian camel), 628 nucleotides. RefSeq lists it as uncharacterized. Lineage: Eukaryota; Metazoa; Chordata; Mammalia; Artiodactyla; Camelidae. The record is from RefSeq and is a predicted model, not a curated record. The transcript is spliced from 3 exons.